CCUACGGGAGGCAGCAGUAGGGAAUUUUCGGCAAUGGGGGGAACCCUGACCGAGCAACGCCGCGUGAACGAAGACGUUCUUCGUAAUGUAAAGUUCUUUUAACAGGGAAGAAAGAGAAAUUUGACGGUACCUGAAGAAUAAGCUCCGGUUAACUACGUCCCAGCAGCCGGGGUAAUACGUAGGGAGCGAGCGUUAUCCGGAAUUAUUGGGCGAAAAGGGUGCGUAAAUGGCAUAGUAAGUCUUUUGUAAAAAUGCUGGGCUCAACCCAGUAGGGCAAAAGAUACUGGAAAGCUAGAGUAUGACAGAGGCAAGCGGAACUACAUGUGUAGCGGUAAAAUGCGUAAAUAUAUGUAAGAACACCAGUGGCGAAGGCGGCUUGCUGGGUCGAUACUGACAUUGAGGCACGAAAGCGUGGGGAGCAAACAGGAUUAGAUACCCCAGUAGUC
RNAcentral lists this ribosomal RNA (446 nucleotides) under uncultured bacterium. RNAcentral describes it as "partial 16S ribosomal RNA". It matches the Rfam family "Bacterial small subunit ribosomal RNA", at positions 338 to 795 of the family's 1533-position model. The record is from RNAcentral.